GACAAAAGGGUGGGACUGGCAGGAAAAGCAAUGAUGAGUAAAGCUCAAGUUCUCCUUUAUGAGCCCCUCGUCUAACAACCGCAUUUGAUUACAGUAAGGCUCAGAGUUGAGGAACUUUUUUCAGGAUUACUGCCAGUUUCCUCCAGCACACACACACACACACACUGCUGGAUGCUGGAGCGUCUCUGUGAAAGCGGAGUGGGCUGAGACUAUAAUGAGAGCGGUAUGAAGGGAUGAUGUUGAAGACUGGCCGAGCCAGUCAGGGAUAAACAGUGGGGAGUUUCCUUCAGAUUCUACGAUCUGCUCUUCUGGUUUGUCUCUGUUCGGCAGUCCAAUCUGCUUUGAUCCUGGAGAAGCUAAAAGAGGCUAUAAAAAGAUACAAUUGAUUCUUAACUGAGAACUCCUGUUUGUCUCUUGAGCAACAUUUGAGCAAUAGGACUGUCCUCCAGGACCCUAAACCCUUCUGUUCAAAUUUGUGCCUAAUAACCUCGCUGGACCCCACAACUAUCCUCCUGGCAUGGAUCGCUGGACAUUUCAGAAGAGCAAGGAAUAUUAGGACUGGAGAAUUACAGUCCUUCUUUGGAGUUUGUGAAGCUUAUGGAUUCCACCUCACGCCAGACUGCACUUUAUUUUGCAAGAAUUUGAUGCGGUCUGUUUGACCCAUCCUUGUUUCAUGUGGCAGCAACCCUUUACACUUCCUUCCCCACAUACUGUAAAGCAAAUUACUUAAUUUAGUGAUAUGAGAAACAUCAGACAGAGACAAAAGCCAAAUGGAGGACGUCAUAGGAAAUGGGUUUUAAUAAAACAUCCUUCAAAGGCAUUUUGAAAUGAUUACACAUGACUAAUGAUUUCAUAAAAUGACUUAAUUAAGUUCACUCUCCUUGGGUGGCAAGUAAAUGCACAAAUAAAGGGUUGCAUAGGCCUAAUAAAUUGUAAAACCUAAAACAGCCAACAUGGAAGUGAUUCAAAUUGCAUGUAUACUGCUACACCACUUUUCCUGACUUGUAUCAUG
Molecule: long non-coding RNA, 1012 nt
Organism: Cyprinus carpio carpio
Lineage: Eukaryota; Metazoa; Chordata; Actinopteri; Cypriniformes; Cyprinidae
Source: Ensembl